UUUUUUUUUUUUAACCUUUGUCACAUCAUUAAAACACUCUGCACUCUCUUUAAAAUUCAAAAUUUAAAAUUCUCUACCAUUGUUAGUUAAAGAUAUGAUGAGAAGGUCUAUAAUAUAUAUCUAUAACUAAAUAUUAAAAGCGUGAAAACCAUAUGACUAAAGUAUCCUCAAAACUCUCUCAAAUUACCUGAUUCACCCACCGCCAUCGUUGGUUGAAUAAUGCUUGGGACCCCCUUUUGGGGGUCACCCCUUUGCCACGUGACGGGUGGUGAUUGGAGGAGCAGGAAAAAAAAAGAAAAAGAAAAAGAAAAUGUAACCAAUGAGAGAGAAAGGGAGUCAAAGGGGGUGGGAGGAAAAGGAGGGAUGAAUCAUUGUUGAUUGUUGGUUUUGCAAGUCUGAAGCCAUAUGGGCUUGCAAGUCUGAAGCCAUAUGGCCACGUGGUCUCACGAAAGACAACUGGCAGCAUUGAUGGUGUGCCACGUAACCGACUCAUCAUCAUCAGUCAAAGAGGUUAUGGAAUAUGGCCGUGACAAAUGACAACAGGUAUAUAUUGCUCAAUCCUAAGACACCUCAACUGAGACGAGGAUUAAAAAAUCAAGCACAAGCUUGGGGGGAAGAGGAAAAUUUAGCAAACAGAUUCACUUGGUAAAGAAAUGUUGAUCAUUGGAUGAAUCAACAUUGAUUCUGUGAACUUGUUUUUGAUAGUGAUGUGUUCAAUUUUUACUUGUGGAUCACCCAUGUUGUUGAAAGACUUUCGAAUUAUAUCUCUACUGUGGUGGAGCAGUUGGAAGACUCCAAUUCUUAAACAA
Non-coding RNA from Camellia sinensis, 809 nucleotides. Lineage: Eukaryota; Viridiplantae; Streptophyta; Magnoliopsida; Ericales; Theaceae. The record is from RefSeq and is a predicted model, not a curated record.